AUAAUGAUUCCGCAUGGUUUCAUUAUUAAAGGAUUCCGGUAAAGGAUGGGGAUGCGUUCCAUUAGGUUGUUGGUGAGGUAACGGCUCACCAAGCCUUCGAUGGAUAGGGGUUCUGAGAGGAAGGUCCCCCACAUUGGAACUGAGACACGGUCCAAACUCCUACGGGAGGCAGCAGUGAGGAAUAUUGGUCAAUGGGCGCUAGCCUGAACCAGCCAAGUAGCGUGAAGGAUGAAGGCUCUAUGGGUCGUAAACUUCUUUUAUAUAAGAAUAAAGUGCAGUAUGUAUACUGUUUUGUAUGUAUUAUAUGAAUAAGGAUCGGCUAACUCCGUGCCAGCAGCCGCGGUAAUACGGAGGAUCCGAGCGUUAUCCGGAUUUAUUGGGUUUAAAGGGAGCGUAGGUGGACUGGUAAGUCAGUUGUGAAAGUUUGCGGCUCAACCGUAAAAUUGCAGUUGAUACUGUCAGUCUUGAGUACAGUAGAGGUGGGCGGAAUUCGUGGUGUAGCGGUGAAAUGCUUAGAUAUCACGAAGAACUCCGAUUGCGAAGGCAGCUCACUGGACUGCAACUGACACUGAUGCUCGAAAGUGUGGGUAUCAAACAGGAUUAGAUACCCUGGUAGUCCACACAGUAAACGAUGAAUACUCGCUGUUUGCGAUAUACAGUAAGCGGCCAAGCGAAAGCAUUAAGUAUUCCACCUGGGGAGUACGCCGGCAACGGUGAAACUCAAAGGAAUUGACGGGGGCCCGCACAAGCGGAGGAACAUGUGGUUUAAUUCGAUGAUACGCGAGGAACCUUACCCGGGCUUAAAUUGCAGUGGAAUGAUGUGGAAACAUGUCAGUGAGCAAUCACCGCUGUGAAGGUGCUGCAUGGUUGUCGUCAGCUCGUGCCGUGAGGUGUCGGCUUAAGUGCCAUAACGAGCGCAACCCUUAUCUUUAGUUACUAACAGGUUAUGCUGAGGACUCUGGAGAGACUGCCGUCGUAAGAUGUGAGGAAGGUGGGGAUGACGUCAAAUCAGCACGGCCCUUACGUCCGGGGCUACACACGUGUUACAAUGGGGGGUACAGAAGGCAGCUAGCGGGUGACCGUAUGCUAAUCCCAAAAGCCUCUCUCAGUUCGGAUCGAAGUCUGCAACCCGACUUCGUGAAGCUGGAUUCGCUAGUAAUCGCGCAUCAGCCACGGCGCGGUGAAUACGUUCCCGGGCCUUGUACACACCGCCCGUCAAGCCAUGGGAGCCGGGGGUACCUGAAGUACGUAACCGCAAGGAUCGUCCUAGGGUAAAACUGGUGACUGGGGCUAAGUCGUAACAAGGUAGCCGUACCGGAAGGUGCGGCUGGAACACCU
This 1338-nucleotide ribosomal RNA is filed under the name Bacteroides fragilis CL03T00C08. RNAcentral's name for it is "bacterial SSU rRNA". It matches the Rfam family "Bacterial small subunit ribosomal RNA", at positions 173 to 1528 of the family's 1533-position model. Lineage: Bacteria; Pseudomonadati; Bacteroidota; Bacteroidia; Bacteroidales; Bacteroidaceae. The record is from RNAcentral.